GACAUAUUCUUAAUACUCCUUUAAGAGUCCUCUGCAUAGACAUAAAAGUAAAACGCAUUGUUGCUUUUAUCAAGAAAGAAUUCAUAAACUGCCACAAAGCCCUGGGAUGAUGAAGCUGGACAAUCAAAGGAACAGAGGCUGCAGAUGCUGCAUAGAUGUGACAGACUGGAAUUUAACUUCUAAUGCAGGUUUAUUUAUCCAGAAGAUGCCUUUACAUUCCCGAAGGUCUGAACUCCUUUGACUGCUAUUUCUGCUGUGCUACUUGGUUGUUACAUGGCUUUAAAGUAUCUUCAACUUUGAAAGAAGCAAAGGAGAUGGAAAACAACAACAACAACAACAACAAACUGUGAGAGGAAGAAAGGUCAAAGUACUUGACAAGAGUCUGAAAAACAGUGUUUUCUGAAUAAAUACAUUGUUUUCCAAAAGUGCCAGGCCAUGGAAUACGCACACUGCAGGAAAUUUCUAACACCAAGGAGCCUAUCAAAAGCACUACAGAGCUUUGCCACGAGGAUAGAAAACACCCAUCCUAGAAUCAUUUCAGGACCAAAUCCUUCCCCUCUAAGUCAAUAAACACUCAGAACUUGUGAGAAUAUAUUUUUGAGGCAGAGAGCAGCUCUUGGACAGGCUUGCAAGAAUCUUAGUCACGCUGUUAUCCAUGUGCUUAGAGAAGUGUUUUUUAUAUGGGAAAUUUAUUUAAACAAGAGGAUAAAACACUGCAGGAAAGUUUUCUUUCUGUAAAAGAAGCACAAUAGAGCAAAGGAUGGAAAUCAAUUGUUUUUGAGCUUAAAAGAAUCAUUACUUCAACUGAAGCAAGUGAUAAUACUUUUAAAUGCAAAGCUGUCUGUAUUGAACACUUUUCUCCUUUCUAUACCUGUUCUGAAUUUCUUUCUUUAGUGUGCUGAUGGCUAUCAAGAACUUCACACAGAUAAGUAGAGUGAGAUGCUUUCUUCCUUACUACCAACCUCUGGAAACAUGUGAGGUUAUCUAGCACACACCCAUCAUUCCUGCUGGAUUGACAUCAGCAGUGCAAAUACAGGCCUGGAGCAUCACAGGAAGAGGUUAUAGGGUGCUGAUUACCCAGGAGAAACUUUCUUUCUAUUGGGAACAGCAGAAAAACAAAAUCACUAGUGCUACAAUGAGUAAUUAACUCUUGAUACGUGGUGAUGGUUAGGAAAUAAAAAAGAGAUUUUUGAUUACAAUCCCAGUUCUACAUUUCCCAGUUGUCACAGCCUCAACACCAAAGCUUUUAAUGAUUCAUAGGUACCAAGAUUAAAAAGGAUUCACUGUGUGUCAACACCUAUGCAAACAGUGUCUCCUUGCACAGCAGGAUACUCUUUCUAUACUGUCAAGGAAGUGCCAAAGAGUGAAAGCAAACAGGCUCCAUAAAUCCUAACACAAAUAAAGACAGUUACAAAUUGACAA
Long non-coding RNA from Gallus gallus (chicken), 1422 nucleotides. RefSeq lists it as uncharacterized. The record is from RefSeq and is a predicted model, not a curated record. The transcript has 3 exons. NCBI's taxonomy places the organism in Eukaryota, Metazoa, Chordata, Aves, Galliformes, Phasianidae.